AUACUUACCUGGCAGGGGAGAUACCAUGAUCAAGAAGGUGGUUCACCCAGGGCGAGGCUUGGCCAUUGCACUCCGGCCACGCUGACCCCUGCGAAUGGCGGUGGAACGUAUGGUAGUGCAAUUAAUCACAACGCGAUUGGCUGAA
Molecule: small nuclear RNA, 145 nt
Organism: Danio rerio (zebrafish)
Lineage: Eukaryota; Metazoa; Chordata; Actinopteri; Cypriniformes; Danionidae
Gene: U1
Rfam family: U1 spliceosomal RNA
About the family: U1 is a small nuclear RNA (snRNA) component of the spliceosome (involved in pre-mRNA splicing). Its 5' end forms complementary base pairs with the 5' splice junction, thus defining the 5' donor site of an intron. There are significant differences in sequence and secondary structure between metazoan and yeast U1 snRNAs, the latter being much longer (568 nucleotides as compared to 164 nucleotides in human).
Source: Ensembl